This 1196-nucleotide long non-coding RNA is filed under the name Felis catus (domestic cat). RNAcentral describes it as "lncRNA (ENSFCAG00000047733.1)". The record is from RNAcentral. Lineage: Eukaryota; Metazoa; Chordata; Mammalia; Carnivora; Felidae.
GUUUUUCUUUUGGGAGAUGGAGAGGCUCGCCCCCUGGAUUAGCAGAGGAAUCAAAGCCACGUGACUACGGGGUGGGGGGGCGGGUUUCAUCUUUCUCCAUACAAGGUUAUUGUUCCACUUUUUCUUCUUUUCUUCCUCCCUAACCGCUAGCUCAGUGAUAAGUUGAGAAGGGGCCAGACCCUGGGUGCCCGGCUGACUCAGUCAUUAAGCAUCUGACUUCGCCUCGGAAAAAAGAAGAAGAAGAAGAAGUGGCUGGAGCUCUCGAGGUGCCUUCAAGAAACCACGCCGAAAGGAAAGCCUGACCCUGACUCCAGGGGCUGCCCCGCAAGGGAAUCAUCCUCUGACAGUGCGAACCUCCGAAUCUUGUUUUUACCUUAGCUCUUCAACGUUUACACUUCAGCGGGAGCAGAACACCAUCCUUUGACCUAUGGCACAGCGCCGUUCUCACAAGGCAAGAACCCCUUAGCCAUAGGGCCCCGAGAGAAAACACAGAGGCCGUUCCCAGCAGACCUGCUCCCUGGAACCCUGAGCGACGUCGGAAGGCGUUGUCUCGGGUUUUUUAAGUCAAUUGCAACAUAGUUCCUGUAUUACUGUAUUUUCCUUGUGUGUUUGCACAUGGAUUUUUCACGGAUGGCUGGGGUAUUUGUGCUGUCACUCUGACAGGCUUUAAAAACACGCGCCCCGGGGCGCCUGGGUGGCGCAGUCGGUUGAGCGUCCGACUUCAGCCAGGUCACGAUCUCGCGGUCCGGGAGUUCGAGCCCCGCGUCGGGCUCUGGGCUGAUGGCUCAGAGCCUGGAGCCUGUUUCCGAUUCUGUGUCUCCCUCUCUCUCUGUCCCUCCCCCGUUCAUGCUCUGUCUCUCUCUGUCCCAAAAAUAAAUAAACGUUGAAAAAAAAAUUAAAAAAAAAAAAAAAAACACGCGCCCCGCGGUUAACCCCUCUGGGCACAUGGACGGUACUAAUCGUGUUACACCACCAGCAAGCUGACAACAGCCGGCCAGAGAGCCAGCCCCUGACAACGUGUAACACCCGUCUUCGCGGUCGCUUUGCCCCGGAUCACGUCCAGAGUAAACGUCCACGGUCUCUGCUCUCCGUCACUGAAGGUCAGAGUACAUCUCAGAUGCGGAGGCCAGCGAGACAGGUGCCGUUUGGAACUGAAACUCGGUUUAUAGCGGGGCAAAAAGGACAAUAAACCACCC